AUGGACUGCACCAGUACCCGCCAUAGGCAGAGAGCAGUUACAGAGUGAGACGAGCGCAUUAUACCUUCCAAUACACCUGUAAUCACCUGCAAGAUCACGCUGCGGAGCAAGGCUUUUCCAGCUUCCUUAACCUCUGCAAGCCAGACCCUCAUCUGGAGUAACUUGGCAGUACUCCACAGAGUCAACGGAGCGCAGCCAAACUGCAGCAGCCGAGAGCUGGGCCCUGCAUCUUGAAAGCAAAUUCAUUCACCAGCUAGCUGUGAGAGGUCACUCUGCCCUUGGACUUGCUGCCAUACGGAUGACAUCAAGCUGGCCAGACUCCAGCUAGGACAAAAAUUGUUGCUUGAGAGCUGUUUUCUAAAGCACCUUGUAAGAUACGGGAUGUUAUGCCUUCCCCUGACACUGAGGCUUGGACAUGACAGAUGGAAAGCUACGGUUAAUGUCCCCUGUGGGAGAUGAUGCUUUUGGGAUCUUGGGGUAACUUGGGCACCACCCAGCAUGGCUGAGGCAUAGGCAAGAACUGUCAGCCAGGCUAUGGUCAUUAACCACCUAUGGCCAGCAAGUCCCUUUGUGAGGACAGCUUCAUUUUCUGUAACAUGGGAAGGUUCAAAAUUCAUCAGUUUUUAAAAGAAAUUUUGCUCCAAAAUGAGAAGCUGAACAACUUUAUCUAAAAAAAAGGGUAGGAGUGAGAAGUCCCAGCGUUUGCUUCUCCAUUGCUCCCUGUGGGGUUCACCUCUUCAGCCUUCUCUCCGCUAUUGGCAAUAAGGAGCUGUCAGAUGAGUGAUUUGGUGCCUUUCGAGCAGCUCUGCCGCACUGAAGAGUGUCUAUGUGGUAACACAAGGCUGUGCCUGCGGAGCUGGUCAUGCCUGAGCUAUGGCUGGAGCUGCAGCAUCUGCUCAGGCCCAAACAAC
Gavia stellata (red-throated loon) is the source of this 911-nucleotide long non-coding RNA. RefSeq lists it as uncharacterized. The transcript has 6 exons. Lineage: Eukaryota; Metazoa; Chordata; Aves; Gaviiformes; Gaviidae. The record is from RefSeq and is a predicted model, not a curated record.